CUCCUCGUAGCAUAACGGAUAGUGCACGCGCCUCCUAAGCGUGAGAUAUGGGUUCGAUUCCCGUCGAGGAGGCCA
This 75-nucleotide transfer RNA is filed under the name Candidatus Propionivibrio aalborgensis. RNAcentral describes it as "tRNA-Arg". It matches the Rfam family "tRNA". Rfam says of the family: Transfer RNA (tRNA) molecules are approximately 80 nucleotides in length. Their secondary structure includes four short double-helical elements and three loops (D, anti-codon, and T loops). RNAcentral also lists the same sequence under 1 other name. The record is from RNAcentral. Lineage: Bacteria; Pseudomonadati; Pseudomonadota; Betaproteobacteria; Rhodocyclales; Rhodocyclaceae.